AUGCAGUACUGUUUUUUGGGAAAAACCCACACGAGUCUCUGCGACACGUGGCAGCGAGCUCCACCACUUGGGGUGCCAGACUGUGCCCUUGUUUGUCCUGAAGGCCAAGGGGCAGCGGGUGGUGGAGAGCCAGUGAAGUCUUCUGUUCUUCGGCUGUUUGCCCCUCUGGGGAGAGCAGCAAGUGAGAACUUGUGUCUCAACCCUUGAAGCUUGCCGCUGGGCUUGUGUUGCCACUGAUGCCAGGACAGUGGCUAACGGUCAACAGCUUUGUUUGCAACAGCUUCCAAUCUGUGGAUGUCCCUCCUGACCAGCCAGCUUGCAAGAUUACUAUGUGACAGCAAUGACCCUGUGUGAAGUUUCUUUGAAGGACCUGGGAGUCUGUGUGGUUUUCUCAUGUCCCUUGGAG
This 406-nucleotide long non-coding RNA is filed under the name Struthio camelus australis. Its description in RNAcentral is "lncRNA (ENSSCUG00000005483.1)". Lineage: Eukaryota; Metazoa; Chordata; Aves; Struthioniformes; Struthionidae. The record is from RNAcentral.